RNAcentral lists this ribosomal RNA (490 nucleotides) under uncultured bacterium. RNAcentral's name for it is "partial 16S ribosomal RNA". It matches the Rfam family "Bacterial small subunit ribosomal RNA", at positions 30 to 507 of the family's 1533-position model. The record is from RNAcentral.
AUUGAACGCUGGCGGCAGGCCUAACACAUGCAAGUCGAACGGUAACAGGAAGAAGCUUGCUUCUUUGCUGACGAGUGGCGGACGGGUGAGUAAUGUCUGGGAAACUGCCUGAUGGAGGGGGAUAACUACUGGAAACGGUAGCUAAUACCGCAUAACGUCGCAAGCCCAAAAAGGGGGACCUUCGGGCCUCUUGCCAUCGGAUGUGCCCAGAUGGGAUGAGCUAGUAGGUGGGGUAACGGCUCACCUAGGCGACGAUCCCUAGCUGGUCUGAGAGGAUGACAAGCCACACUGGAACUGAGACACGGUCCAGACUCCUACGGGAGGCAGCAGUGGGGAAUAUUGCACAAAGGGCGCAAGCCUGAUGCAGCCAUGCCGCGUGUAUGAAGAAGGCCUUCGGGUUGUAAAGUACUUUCAGCGGGGAGGAAGGGAGUAAAGUUAAUACCUUUGCUCAUUGACGUUACCCGCAGAAGAAGCACCGGCUAACUCCGUG